UUUUUUUCUUCUUGCUGUUUUCAAAUUCUUUGAAACUUUUCAGGUAUCCCACAAAGAUUCAUUAUCAGGAAGUGACGAGGGCUUUAACAAUGAAGUACCCAAUCCUGAAGGACAGGGCGUGUAAUUCAACUGGAUAUGUACAGAUACAUGGAAGGGAAUCACAAUCAACGGCAUAUCGCGGAUAUGAAGCUGCUGCAGCCAGAAGGAACCCCGAUAUAGGGACUAUAAAUGACAAGAUGUAGAGAACACGUCAGCAUCGCAUGUUGUUCAUCCAAGGAAAUUCUGGUGGGGAUAUCCUUUCAGAAUACCCCCAUCCUUAAGUUGGAAAAUCAGCUUGUGAAAGAACUUGAAAGAGUUUAUAAGCAGCUUGCGGUAGCCCCAACACUUCAGAAUGUCAUCUAGAAGUCUGGGGAGAAAAUCCUUGAUUUCUGCAAGCCCCUUUCCUGUUUCGGUUUCGGAUCAAACAGCAGGCUGCCAAUCAGAAAAAUAGAGAAAGGUUUGUCAUUGCAUCUAUAGUACCCUAUCUUUACCAAUUCCCAUGUAUUACAAACAUCAUUUGACACGUCAGACCAUAGAAAUACACAUUUUAUCAAUCCUUUGUCAGUUACUAGAUCCUUUUAAAAAAAUGGGUCAUAAUAUUUUGGAAGUAAUAUUGUAAUUGAUGAUUAUAUACAUGUACAUAUAGAUACAUUAUGAAAUUUAAUAUUAUGGAUACAUUAAAGGAAAAUU
Molecule: long non-coding RNA, 729 nt
Organism: Strongylocentrotus purpuratus (purple sea urchin)
Lineage: Eukaryota; Metazoa; Echinodermata; Echinoidea; Camarodonta; Strongylocentrotidae
Exons: 3
Source: RefSeq, a predicted model, not a curated record